UUCCCUUCCCUUCCUUCCCUU
RNAcentral lists this unclassified non-coding RNA (21 nucleotides) under synthetic construct. The record is from RNAcentral.